Molecule: long non-coding RNA, 638 nt
Filed under: Monodelphis domestica (gray short-tailed opossum)
Lineage: Eukaryota; Metazoa; Chordata; Mammalia; Didelphimorphia; Didelphidae
Description: lncRNA (ENSMODG00000031132.2)
Source: RNAcentral
GGCCCUCAGAACUGCACCUCCACCCCAUGGUUAGUCAUUCCAGACUAACUUGUUCUCUUAUUCUGAACUUGGCCUCAGCUUUCCCCCUUCACCUCUCUCUGUUGGCUGAGAGCUAUGGUCACCAUUUCAUCCUGAGAAAGGACAUUCAAUUAAGAGGAGAAUUUCAUGCCUAUAUUCAGGCUGUCUCUGAUGCCUCCUUGUGGUGUGAAGGAGACCCUGGACUCUCAAAGGCUCUGUUAGUAGAGCAGUGUCCUACUGAGGAGGAAAAGCUUUGGGUAUGGACCCUGCCUGCAAUGUGCCUGUCAUCUGCCAUCCAAAGACGAGCCUUAAUAAAUUGUGCGAGGCUUAUCACAAGAAGGUUGGCCACCAGAUACUUCUUGUGCCAGAGCCUUCAUGACCCCACGUGGGGUUUUCUUGAUAAGCCAAGCUGGAGAGGUUUGCCAUUUCCUUCUUCAGCUCAUUUUACAGAUGAGGAAACUGAGGCAGAGGAAAAGGAGAAGACAGAAAGAAGACAACAGACCUAUGAUUCCUACAGACUAAUGUAUGUUUGUGGUUGUGUAAUCAUCUUGACCAGAAAGCUUCCCUGUCCACCCCCUGGAAUUCCUGAGUCAGCCUCCCAGACCCUCCAGAUAGAGUGA